UACGUAGGGGCCGAGCGUUGUCCGGAGUUACUGGGCGUAAAGCGCGCGCAGGCGGCGGCUUUGGCCCGGCGUGAAAGCCCCCGGCUCAACCGGGGAACGUCGUCGGGGACCGCGCCGCUUGAGGGCGGCAGGGGCCGGUGGAAUGCCUGGUGUAGUGGUGAAAUGCGUAGAGAUCAGGCGGAACACCCGGGGCGAAGGCGGCCGGCUGGGCCGUCCCUGACGCUGAGGCGCGAAGGCGUGGGGAGCGAACGGG
RNAcentral lists this ribosomal RNA (253 nucleotides) under uncultured bacterium. RNAcentral's name for it is "partial 16S ribosomal RNA". It matches the Rfam family "Bacterial small subunit ribosomal RNA", at positions 524 to 776 of the family's 1533-position model. The record is from RNAcentral.